GACGAACUGUCCAAACGUUGUUCGGAAUCACUGGGCUUAAAGGGCGCGUAGGCGGUCGAUCAAGUCAGGGGUGAAAUCCUGCAGCUUAACUGUAGAAGUGCCUUUGAUACUGGUCGUCUCGAGGGAGGUAGGGGUGUGUGGAACUUCCAGUGGAGCGGUGAAAUGCGUUGAUAUUGGAAGGAACGCCGGAGGCGAAAGCGACGCACUGGACCUUUUCUAACGCUGAGGCGCGAAAGCUAGGGGAGCAAACGGG
Molecule: ribosomal RNA, 253 nt
Filed under: uncultured bacterium
Lineage: Bacteria
Description: partial 16S ribosomal RNA
Rfam family: Bacterial small subunit ribosomal RNA
Source: RNAcentral